ACUCAACACGGGGAAACUCACCAGGUCCAGACACAUUAAGGAUUGACAGAUUGAGAGCUCUUUCUUGAUUAUGUGGGUGGUGGUGCAUGGCCGUUCUUAGUUGGUGGAGUGAUUUGUCUGCUUAAUUGCGAUAACGAACGAGACCUUAACCUGCUAAAUAGCCAGGCUAGCUUUUGCUGGUCGCCGGCUUCUUAGAGGGACUAUCGGCUCAAGCCGAUGGAAGUUUGAGGCAAUAACAGGUCUGUGAUGCCCUUAGAUGUUCUGGGCCGCACGCGCGCUACACUGACAGAGCCAACGAGUAUAAACCUUAACCGAGAGGUUUGGGUAAUCUUGUUAAACUCUGUCGUGCUGGGGAUAGGGCAUUGCAAUUAUUGCCCUUCAACGAGGAAUAUCUAGUAAGCGCAAGUCAUCAGCUUGCGUUGAUUACGUCCCUGCCCUUUGUACACACCGCCCGUCGCUACUACCGAUUGAAUGGCUUAGUGAGAUCUCCGGAUUGGCGU
Molecule: ribosomal RNA, 500 nt
Filed under: uncultured eukaryote
Lineage: Eukaryota
Description: SSU rRNA
Rfam family: Eukaryotic small subunit ribosomal RNA
Source: RNAcentral